Molecule: long non-coding RNA, 363 nt
Filed under: Lathyrus oleraceus (garden pea)
Lineage: Eukaryota; Viridiplantae; Streptophyta; Magnoliopsida; Fabales; Fabaceae
Description: Pisum sativum (pea) long non-coding RNA (PSAT_LNC022763)
Source: RNAcentral
UUAUGUUUUUUGAUUUUUUUAUACUAUUUUUUUGAAGAUUUUGUAGAUUGAGCCUUUGGGUUCAAAUUUGUAAAAAAUGAAAGAUUUGUAAGAUUGAAACUAAUUUUGGUUGAUUGAUAAUUUGAUUGAGAAUGAUUGACUUGGAGAUUAAAAUCGUGAAUUUGUGGAAUGAUUUGUUUAAUCUAAUGUAAUUUGUAAAUGAUUCAUUAAUGAAGAUUUACUUCUUGUUUUCAUUUGAUCUAAAUUUUAAUAUAAUAAUAUAAUCUAGUAAGAUAUUAUAUAUUAAUACUAUAAUUUUAAUAUAAUAAUAUAAUCUAAUAAGAAUAAAAUAAAUCUAAUAAAAAUAAUAUAUAUGUAAUCUUA